GAUCCUGGCUCAGGACGAACGCUGGCGGCGUGCUUAACACAUGCAAGUCGAACGGGAAGGCCUAAGCUUGCUUGGGUACUCGAGUGGCGAACGGGUGAGUAACACGUGAGUGAUCUGCCCUCAACUUCGGGAUAAGCCUGGGAAACUGGGUCUAAUACUGGAUAGGACCAUCCUUUAGUGUGUGAUGGUGGAAAGUUUUUUCGGUUGGGGAUGAGCUCGCGGCCUAUCAGCUUGUUGGUGGGGUAAUGG
Molecule: ribosomal RNA, 249 nt
Filed under: uncultured bacterium
Lineage: Bacteria
Description: partial 16S ribosomal RNA
Rfam family: Bacterial small subunit ribosomal RNA
Source: RNAcentral